GACGAACGCUGGCGGCGUGCUUAACACAUGCAAGUCGAACGAGAAAGCACCUUCGGGUGUGAGUACAGUGGCGAACGGGUGAGUAACACGUGGGCAACCUGCCUGUAAGACUGGGAUAACUUCGGGAAACCGAGGCUAAUACCGGAUAAUCCUUUUCCUCACAUGAGGGAAAGCUGAAAGACGGCGUAAGCUGUCACUUACAGAUGGGCCCGCGGCGCAUUAGCUAGUUGGUGAGGUAACGGCUCACCAAGGCAACGAUGCGUAGCCGACCUGAGAGGGUGAUCGGCCACACUGGGACUGAGACACGGCCCAGACUCCUACGGGAGGCUG
This 330-nucleotide ribosomal RNA is filed under the name uncultured Bacillota bacterium. RNAcentral's name for it is "bacterial SSU rRNA". It matches the Rfam family "Bacterial small subunit ribosomal RNA", at positions 28 to 351 of the family's 1533-position model. Lineage: Bacteria; Bacillati; Bacillota. The record is from RNAcentral.